AAGGAUUUUAGUCCUACCUUAAGUCUCUAAAAUACUAAAAUAUUUCCCAUAGACUUAAGAGCUACUCAAAUAAGGUACAGCCUAUUUGACACAGGAAACAACCUAAAACACAGGGUAACUUAUUACGGCACGUGCUUAAGUGGGCCUAAAAGCAGCCAACUUUUAAAAAGCGUUAAAGCUUCACCACCAGCCCCUCUAAUUCUUAAACCCACCUUAAACCCUUACUCAGUACUAAAUAACUCUAUUAUUUUAUAGAAGAUAUUAUGCUAAAACUAGUAACAAGAAGAAGCCCUUCUCCUAAAUGCACGUGUACGCCAAAAAGAACUAAUCAUUGGCAUUUAACGCUACAGAUCUGUAAGCAGUAACACUUCAAGAAAACCCUGCUUUAAAUAACGUUAACCUCACACAAGAGCAUUACAGGAACGAUUAAAAGAAGUGGAAGGAACUCGGCAAACUCUAACCCCGCCUGUUUACCAAAAACAUCGCCUUCUGAAGAAAAUAGAAGGUCCAGCCUGCCCAGUGACCAAGUUAAACGGCCGCGGUACCCUAACCGUGCAAAGGUAGCGUGCGG
Molecule: ribosomal RNA, 571 nt
Filed under: Elachistocleis bicolor (two-colored oval frog)
Lineage: Eukaryota; Metazoa; Chordata; Amphibia; Anura; Microhylidae
Description: 16S ribosomal RNA
Source: RNAcentral